CCCUUAGAUGUCCUGGGCCGCACGCGCGCUACACUGAACGGAUCAGCGCGUUUUCCCUUCCCGAGAGGGACGGGUAACCUGCUGAACCUCGUUCGUGGUAGGGAUCGGGGCUUGCAAUUAUUCCCCGUGAACCAGGAAUGCCCAGUAAGUGCAAGUCAUAAGCUUGCGUUGAUUACGUCCCUGCCCUUUGUACACACCGCCCGUCGCUACUACCGAUUGAACGUUUUAGUGAGGUACUCGGACUGAGCCUCAGAAGAUUCACGUCUUUUGUGCUGCUCGGGAAGAUUCCCAAACUUGAGCGUUUAGAGGAAGUAAAAGUCGUAACA
Molecule: ribosomal RNA, 326 nt
Filed under: uncultured eukaryote
Lineage: Eukaryota
Description: partial 18S ribosomal RNA
Rfam family: Eukaryotic small subunit ribosomal RNA
Source: RNAcentral